CCUACGGGAGGCAGCAGUAGGGAAUCUUCCACAAUGGGCGCAAGCCUGAUGGAGCAACACCGCGUGAGUGAAGAAGGGUUUCGGCUCGUAAAGCUCUGUUGUUGGAGAAGAACGUGCGUGAGAGUAACUGUUCACGCAGUGACGGUAUCCAACCAGAAAGUCUCGGCUAACUACGUGCCAGCAGCUGCGGUAAUACGUAGGAGGCAAGCGUUAUCCGGAUUUAUUGGGCGUAAAGCGAGCGCAGGCGGUUGCUUAGGUCUGAUGUGAAAGUCUUCGGCUUAACCGAAGAAGUGCAACGGAUACCGGCAGACUUGAGUGCAGAAGAGGACGGCGGAACUCCAGGUGUAGCGGUGGAAUGCGUAGAUAUAUGGAAGAACACCGGUGGCGAAGGCAGCUGUCUAGUCUGCAACUGACACUGAGGCUCGAAAGCAUGGGUAGCGAACAGGAUUAGAUACCCCAGUAGUC
RNAcentral lists this ribosomal RNA (465 nucleotides) under uncultured bacterium. RNAcentral describes it as "partial 16S ribosomal RNA". It matches the Rfam family "Bacterial small subunit ribosomal RNA", at positions 338 to 795 of the family's 1533-position model. The record is from RNAcentral.